AGUAACUCCUUUUUCUGGCUAUUGUGCGACGGUCAAAAUGGUGGGCCACAAAAAAUUUGACGAACCAUCAAGAGGACCAUCAAGUCGAGGAAGAAUGUCCCAUUUCUGGGCCCCCAGUGACGGACGAUCUGGUGGACCGUCAGUUUCCUAACGGAUCGUCACUUCGACCAUUACAUCGAGGUAGAAUGUCCCAGUUUUGGCACUCGAGUGACGGACGAUCUGGUGGACCGUCAAUUCCUCUGACGGACCAUCAGUUUGACCGUCACAGGCCCCGAUCAAUAAUUUUCAACUAUUUUAAAAGAGCAUUUUGGUCUUUUACGCCUAUUUUGGUCUUGUAUAUAUAUAUCCAAGUAGAGAAGAGAAGUUUAUUUUUUUCUCCUUUCUCUUCCAUAAUCCUCUAGAAACUAGGGUUUCUUCCAAAAUCUUAAAUCAAAUCAUCUCCAAGGAAUUCAAGAAUCUUUCAAAUAUUUCACCAAGUUGUUCAAGAAUUAAGUUCUUCAUGCCAAAGGCAUAAAAAAACUUAGCUCAAAAGUGCGAGAAAGAAGUUCCAAUCAAGUCUCUUCAUCUCAAAUUCAUAAUCUAAGGUAUGUAGGGCUUGAACAAGAAUAUCCUUUCAUUCUUGUGCCCAAAGAAUUGAUUUUUACUAUUGGAAUUUCAUGAUUUUGCAAGCAGGUUUAUAUUCAAAUUACUUUAUCAUUGAUUUAUGAGAAUUGAGCUAUUCAAGAUUGAUAUACAUGACUAUUUUGAUGUUUUAUUUCUUAAAUUGAGAAUUUAUGCUGUGAAUUAUAUAUUGCAACUAUGAAUUGACGAUUUCCAGGAGAUAGAUGAUAAGAGUAAUGAUUUUAAGAUUUUCCAUGAGAAGUUGAUUAUUAAUAUAUAUAUAUAUCGAUAUUGAGCUUGAGAGUCAAGAAUGAGUCCUAUGAUGUUUCCUUGAAACUUUUGAUAUUUGAAAUGAUUUGAUAAGCAAGCGUACUUGAUGUUGAGAAAGAUUGUUUUGAUUUUGAGUUGAGUUAGGAAUCCACAGUUGUAUAUGAUUUAUAGAUGAGAUAUAUUUAUGUUUUGGUCUUUAUGAUAGACCCAUGAUUUGAUAUUGAUUAAGGUGGAUCUCCUAACGCAUUUUGAGCUGAGUCUAGGAGGAGUAUUUAGUACCGAGCAAGAAAUAUGGUAUUUUUUCAAAACUACGUGCCACCGUAAGAUUGAUAUUGAUAAUUGUGGGCCAGAGGUUGAGUAUAAGCUUGUGAUCACGAAGUUGAGGUUGUACUCCCUGGCAAAAGUACGACGCUCCCGCGAAUGUGGGGUUCUUUCCUUAGGAGGGCAAAACGUUGGACUCCAUGCGGCUCAUAUGGUUUAUGUCGGUUAUAAGAAACUCCCAAGUCCAUAAUAGUCUAAGUUUCAUUAGUUACCGAGUCACUCUAAGUCAUGAGUCAAAGAGUUUGAGUUGAGACCAAUGAUUUAUGAGAUUUAUGAAGCAUGUGUUACUAUUGAUGAUUUAUGGAAAUUACGUUUCAAGUAAUUCAAGCGAAGAGAGCCAUUAUUGUCAACAUGCAUGAUUUUCUUACACAUUUAUGAUAUUAUUGAAAAAUAUUGCAUACACCCCCACAUACUCAGUACAUUCCCAUGUACUAAUUCCCAUACUCUUCUGUGUUCUAUAUUUCCUCGUGAUGCAGGUUCAGGUGCUUAGUCUCAG
Molecule: long non-coding RNA, 1687 nt
Filed under: Capsicum annuum
Lineage: Eukaryota; Viridiplantae; Streptophyta; Magnoliopsida; Solanales; Solanaceae
Description: long non-coding RNA (CANN_LNC004904)
Source: RNAcentral